CCCUAUGCUAAAGUAAAGUCCGUCCACGAAGCGUCUCGCCGCGACCGCCCGUUACAUGAUGCGUCGCCCUUCAGACGCCGGGGCUUUCUGAAAUGUUGCACAGUAGUAAUAUGACACACACUCGUCUCAGAAUCUAUAGAAGCCGUUACUUGAAUGUACUGUCGGAUUUUUCCUUCGUGUUCUGAUGUUUCAAUGGUUACACACACAUGCUACAUCAAUCUCGUCUCAUGUUACCUUUGAGAUGCUCGAGUGCAUCUAGCUACACCACAGAUGUUUGUGACAACACUCGCCACGUUUCGAAACGCAUUCAGAGGAAGUGUACCUGCCGGCUGAACCAGUCUGAGGCAGAGAGGGCCUCUUGUUGCUUUUGCAGAACUGAGUGUUGGAAAUCGGCUGUUUCGCUGGCUACGGAACAACGUAUAAGAGUGAAUGCCUAGACGCCUUUAAACUCACGUACGUUCCUUGCUUUGCUCCUUAUCUACCUCGUGAGCUCCGUGAACUUCGACCUGAGCAGCUUUCGUCAGACUGUGACUACGGAAAACAUUAACAGUCCCAAGGGAAGGCCUGGUAAGGCAGUUCUGUGAAGUCUCUGUUGGUUCAUCAAAACUUGACGCAGCGUCUCACACUUGUGUUGGAUCCUGCACAGGGAGUAGUGGAACUGGUCCGUUGCUUACGGGAGCAGCCGCCGCCUGCGCAGCAGGUUGCCCCGAUGUAGAUCGGGCAUGCUGAGAAAGACUAAGGGUCGUUGGCACCAAACAAGCCACCACACUGACUACCAGUAACAGGCGUUUCAUUGUCUAGAAAAACACUUGGAGCGAAACAACAGCUAGGUGAGAGAGGUGAAAGAAGAUGCCACUACAACGUGCAGAACAUAAU
This 876-nucleotide long non-coding RNA is filed under the name Toxoplasma gondii VEG. The record is from RNAcentral. Lineage: Eukaryota; Apicomplexa; Conoidasida; Eucoccidiorida; Sarcocystidae.